RNAcentral lists this ribosomal RNA (492 nucleotides) under uncultured bacterium. RNAcentral's name for it is "partial 16S ribosomal RNA". It matches the Rfam family "Bacterial small subunit ribosomal RNA", at positions 29 to 507 of the family's 1533-position model. The record is from RNAcentral.
AGUGAACGCUGGCGGUGUGCCUAACACAUGCAAGUCGAACGGCAGCACAGUAAGAGCGUGCUCUUACGGUUGGCGGGUGGCGGACGGGUAAGGAGUACAUAGGAAUCUACUUUUUCGGGGGGGAUAACGGAGGAAAACUUACGCUAAUACAGCAUAUGUCCUACGGGUGAAAGCAGGAGAGCUUCGGACCUUUGGCGAUUCAAUUAGCUGAUGUCGGGUUAGCUAGGUGGUAGGGUAAGGGCCCACCAAGGCGACGAUACGUAGCAGGUCUGAGAGGAUGAUCAGCCACACUGGAACUGAGACACGGUCCAGACUCCUACGGGAGGCAGCAGUGGGGAAUAUUGCGCAAUGGGCGCAAGCCUGAUGCAGCCAUGCCGCGUGAGUGAAGAAGGCCUUCGGGUCGUAAAGCCCUUUUGUUGGGGAAGAAAAGCUGCAGGUUAAUCCCCCGAUGUUCUGACGGUACCCAAAGAGUAAGCACCGGCUAACUUCGUG